UCCGGAGGGGGCGAUCGUUAAUCGGAAUUACUGGGCGUAAAGCGUCCGUAGGCGGCUUGUUAAGUCUGAUGUGAAAGCCCUGGGCUUAACCUGGGAACGGCAUUGGAUACUGGCGAGCUAGAGUUCGGUAGAGGGUGGUGGAAUUCCCGGUGUAGCGGUGAAAUGCGUAGAGAUCGGGAGGAACACCGGUGGCGAAGGCGGCCACCUGGACCGAGACUGACGCUGAGGGACGAAAGCGUGGGGAGCAAACAGG
Molecule: ribosomal RNA, 253 nt
Filed under: uncultured bacterium
Lineage: Bacteria
Description: partial 16S ribosomal RNA
Rfam family: Bacterial small subunit ribosomal RNA
Source: RNAcentral